This is a long non-coding RNA of Orbicella faveolata, 1307 nucleotides long. The record is from RefSeq and is a predicted model, not a curated record. Lineage: Eukaryota; Metazoa; Cnidaria; Anthozoa; Scleractinia; Merulinidae.
AUCAUAUUCAUGGUAAGAUGCCUAAGUUACUGGAACAGUAUGAGUUCAUACACAAAUGUUCAAUACUAUUGUUUUGAAUCAGCAGAAAUAAAAGAAAGCGGGGGCAGAUUUAGUGAUAACUAUUACUAGUAUAUUUCUAGUCAAAUAAAAAAAAAAAAAAGCAAGCUAGUCUUGAGCAGUACAAGACCGAAGGAUUCAAGCAGAGCUCGAGAAUGCGUCAUUGCAAAACAUGUACUCCUUAGCAACCGUUCUCGUGGAUUUGCACACGUGCCUUUCCGUGACUUAGCGCAUGUAUCGCUAUGUAAAUCGCCCUGAGGCUUAAAAAGACCUACCUUGGAGAGAACCGAUUUCUGUCUUGAGACUCCGGCAUGUGUUGCAAAAUUCGUUCAUUGAAUUGAACCUCUUCAUCCGUGACACUUCUCCCUAUAGCCGUCAUCACUAAAUUUAAUCAUCAAAGACAUGAAAGUUUCACCGUCAAUCAUUGAUCAGAGAGCUGUGCCUUGAAAUGCCAACACUUGUCCAAGGUCGGUAACGCUUUAAUUUAAAGUAAGAUCUUCUUAUGUCUUAUAUAAGUUAUGGCAUGCUCUAUAGCAGACCACAGAUUAAUUUACGCCUCAUUAAACUGAGCUCUCAAGAGUAGUUCGAUUACCAGAAAAUUACGUGAUUGAAAACAAUCUAUGAUCAGGACUGAUUCUUGUAAAGAACAGAUUGUACUUGCUGCAUCGCACAAUUGUAUUGAAACAGGAUGAAGAAGAGAUUGCACUUGUUGCAUCGCACAAUUGCCCAAAAUCAUCAAUCUCGAUCAAACGGAUAUGUAAAAGGCCGCUAUAUAGGCGAGAACAUCAUAUUGAUUCAAGAUGUCAUGUUUCUCACUAAAAGCUUUAAUAUGCCAGGAAUUGCAUUUUUUCUUUUUUUGAUUUUCGAAAAGCUUUUGACACAAUAAAAUGGAACUAUCUAUUAUCCAGGCUUAGACUGUUCAAUUUUGGCCCUGCAACUCAUGUAGAACCAAGUGGUCUUAAGAGAUCUUGGAACAAGUAAAUUGACUAUCACUAUUCAAAUUAUCCGUUCACUCGUAGCCUGGGAACCGACUCCGCGUUGGGUUGAUUGGUUUAUUGCGAACUAGCGUGUGGUCUAGGGCGAGCGGAGGAGCCGGAGCCGAAUAGUGACGAGGGGGAGCACAAUUCGCGGAAUUCCGCGAAUUGUGCUCCCCUCGUCACUUUUUUCAAUUGCAUCGAGGCGUCCGGCAAGGAUGCCCCUUAUCGGGCCUUCUUUUUGUAAUUGGUAUUGAGCUUUUCGCAAGGGCAUUU